RNAcentral lists this unclassified non-coding RNA (1918 nucleotides) under uncultured fungus. RNAcentral's name for it is "sequence contains 18S rRNA gene, ITS1, 5.8S rRNA gene, ITS2, 28S rRNA gene". The stretch from base 754 to 1918 matches the Rfam family "Eukaryotic large subunit ribosomal RNA", at positions 1 to 961 of the family's 3401-position model. Lineage: Eukaryota; Fungi. The record is from RNAcentral.
GGAAGGAUCAUUAACAUUUAUGAUAUAAACCGUGUGAGUCGUCUUUCUUUCACUGCUGUUUUUGGCAGUGAUGGAUUGGCUUGACUCCACACACUUCUUGUGAACUUGUUAAAGUCGACUUUGUGGUAUUCAUUACCCAUUGUUUUUCACUCUAUUCAAACACCAUUGUUGUAAAUUGCCCACAAGGUUGGGUGAAUCAAUUCGAAAAUGAAUGUGAAUGUGUUUCGUAAGGAACACUGCAACAUUCAAUAAAAAACGGGAGAAACAACUUUUAACAACGGAUAUCUUGGUUCCCGCAUUGAUGAAGAGCGCAGCGAAAUGCGAUACGUAAUGUGAAUUGCAGAAUUCAGUGAAUCAUCAAAUCCUUGAACGCACAUUGCGCUCUUGGGGUCACCCAGGAGCAUGCCCGUUUGAGUGUCGGUAAUCCAUCAAUCCUCCUCCACAACUUAACUUGUUGUGAGUGAGGGAAAGUGAGCAUUGCUUCCAACACGCAUUAUGUGUGUUGAUGCAUCGCUUUAAAGUGUCUUGAUCAGUGUUGACAAAGAUUUCAUUCUUGAAAGGCUUUGUUGUGUUUUCAUCACGCUGAACAAACUUGACGUUUCAGUUUCGUUUACGAACGGAUCACUCGUCUUGCUUUGGUGAGAAAACACCCUUUCAAAAGAUUUCUUUCUUGAAUCAACACAAAAUCACAGGAUGUUGCAAGAGAAAUCUUCCAUCCUCAGUUCUUUCAUGAUCAACUGAAACCACCACAUUCGACCUCAAAUCAGGUAAAAGUACCCGCUGAAUUUAAGCAUAUUAAUAAGCGGAGGAAAAGAAAGUAACAACGAUUCCCUCAGUAACGGCGAGUGAAGUGGGAAAAGCCCAAAUUUCGAAUCCGGUUUGGUCAACUCCAGACCCGAAUUGUAGUUUUGUGAUCUGCUUUCUUGGCAGCUCCCUUGAUCCAAGUCUGUUGGAACACAGCGCCAUGGAGGGUGACAGCCCCGUCUUGAUCAAGUGGUUCAGAGUUGUCAAACACGUAAGCAGUUCAAAGAGUCGGGUUGUUUGGGAAUGCAGCCCAAAAUGGGUGGUAAACAGCACCUAAGGCUAAAUAUUGGCGGGAGACCGAUAGCGAACAAGUAGUGUGAACGAAAGGUGAAGAGAACUUUGAAAAGAGAGUCAAAAGUGCUUGAAAUUGUUAAAAUGGAAGCGAAUGCAUCCAAUCAUUGCUUGUAUCAAAAUCAACCUUUUUACUGAUUGUGCUUGCCGUAGCGAUUCGGGAAACCGUUCGUGAAAGUGGAGUUUCAGUUGGUGAUGGGUGCACUUUUGAUAUGAGCGUGUCAGCAUCAGUUGCGGUGUGCGAUAAAAGGUUGACAGGAAGGUAGGAGGUGUUGGUCUUGUAUCAAGUCUCUGUUACAGCCUGUCUUUUCCCUUCGCAUGUUCGACUGAGGUUAUUCCAAGCUCUGGGCGCUCUUGCAGGGUUAAGCUGUUCUCUUGGCUGGCGUAGUGAUGGGGACCGCUUUGCGUGUGCCUGUUGUUGCGUUGGUUGACUGGGAUGGCAGUCCUCAAGCUCAGAAAGGAUGUUGACAUAAUGGGUUCAUUCGGCCCGUCUUGAAACACGGACCAAGGAGUCUAACAUAUAUGCGAGUGUUUGGAUGGCAAAUCCAAGCGCGUAAUGAAAGUAAAGGGUGCCUCUGGUGCCUUACGUGGGAACUGUGUCUCUCGGGGCACGGUGCACCAUGGACCGAUCAGGAUAUUCUUUUGAUAGAUUUGAGUGAGAGCAUAUCUGUUGGGACCCGAAAGAUGGUGAUCUAUGCCUGUAUAGGAUGAAGUCAGAGGAAACUCCGAUGGAAGUCCGUAGCGGUUCUGACGUGCAAAUCGAUCGUCAAAUAUGGGUAUAGGGGCGAAAGACUAAUCGAACUAUCUAGUAGCUGGUUCCCUC